CGACAGCGACCCCAGGUCAGGCGGGAU
This 27-nucleotide ribosomal RNA is filed under the name Forsythia suspensa. RNAcentral's name for it is "partial 28S ribosomal RNA". RNAcentral also lists the same sequence under 1 other name. Lineage: Eukaryota; Viridiplantae; Streptophyta; Magnoliopsida; Lamiales; Oleaceae. The record is from RNAcentral.